CAAUAGCGUAUAUUAAAGUUGUUGCGGUUAAAAAGCUCGUAGUUGGAUUUCUGCUGAGAACGACCGGUCCGCCCUCUGGGUGUGUAUCUGGCUCUUUCUUGGCAUCUUCUUGGUGAACGUUGCUGCACUUGACUGUGUGGAGCGCUACCCAGGACUUUUACUUUGAGGAAAUUCCUGUUUCAAGCAGGCAUACGCCUUGAAUACAUUAGCAUGGAAUAAUAAGAUAGGACCUCGGUUCUAUUUUGUUGGUUUCUAGAGCUGAGGUAAUGAUUAAUAGGGAUAGUUGGGGGCAUUCGUAUUUAACUGUCAGAGGUGAAAUUCUUGGAUUUGUUAAAGACGAACUACUGCGAAAGCAUUUGCCAAGGAUGUUUUCAUUGA
This 378-nucleotide ribosomal RNA is filed under the name uncultured eukaryote. RNAcentral describes it as "partial 18S ribosomal RNA". It matches the Rfam family "Eukaryotic small subunit ribosomal RNA", at positions 592 to 976 of the family's 1831-position model. The record is from RNAcentral.